RNAcentral lists this small nuclear RNA (233 nucleotides) under Salvator merianae (Argentine black and white tegu). Its description in RNAcentral is "7SK RNA (ENSSMRG00000009783.1)". The stretch from base 1 to 188 matches the Rfam family "7SK RNA". From Rfam's summary of the family: 7SK was discovered as an abundant small nuclear RNA in the mid-70s but a possible function has only recently been suggested. Two independent studies have found that 7SK RNA binds the CDK9/cyclin T complex (known as elongation factor P-TEFb). P-TEFb activates transcription by phosphorylating the C-terminal domain of RNA polymerase II. Lineage: Eukaryota; Metazoa; Chordata; Lepidosauria; Squamata; Teiidae. The record is from RNAcentral.
AGAUGAGAGGGCAAUCUGGCUGCAAUACUAGUGACUUCCCUGACCUCCAGGUUUGAUUUGGCUGAUCUGNCAGGCUAGGUGGGUGCUCCAUCCCAUCCCCACACAGCUUGCAUGUCCCUCCCAAAGCUGCAUGCUUGGUAGAGUAGGACAACCAUCCUAGAUGGAAGUGUACGGUUGUUCAGAUGAUGCACAAAUCAAUUUCUGUAUUAUUAAUAAUAAUAAUGUUUGUUUAU